AGCUUUCCGCAGUGGCACUAUCGUAGCCAGUGAGGUUUAUCUGAGGCGCGAUUAUUGCUAAUUGAAAACUUCCACCUGUGUCCCUAGGCAACCGAGGUUGUGCCAAACCUCACUCUGCCACUAGA
Molecule: small nuclear RNA, 125 nt
Filed under: Chinchilla lanigera (long-tailed chinchilla)
Lineage: Eukaryota; Metazoa; Chordata; Mammalia; Rodentia; Chinchillidae
Description: U4 spliceosomal RNA (ENSCLAG00000020795.1)
Rfam family: U4 spliceosomal RNA
About the family: U4 small nuclear RNA (U4 snRNA) is a component of the major U2-dependent spliceosome. The structure of U4 snRNA from yeast and human has been reported.
Source: Rfam by way of RNAcentral